CGUACAAUAUUUAUUUACAACCUAAACCGCCAGAGAAUUACGAGCGCAAGCUUAAAACUCAAAGGACUUGACGGUGUCCCAUCUACCUAGAGGAGCCUGUUCUGUAAUUGAUAAUCCCCGAUAAACCUCACCCCUCUUUGUUAAUCAGCCUGUAUACUUCCGUCGUAAGCUUACCAUAUGAAUGUAUUAGUAAGCUAAAUAGUUUAUACUAAAACGUCAGGUCAAAGUGCAGCUAAUAGAGGAGGCAAGAAAUGGGCUACAAUUUCUAAAUUAAGAAUAUACGAAAUAGUAAUUGAAAACAACUAUGAAGGUGGAUUUAGAAGUAAAGUGAAAAUAGAGUGUUCACUUUAAUAGUGCUCUGGGACGUGUAC
Molecule: ribosomal RNA, 371 nt
Filed under: Hyperolius semidiscus (yellow-striped reed frog)
Lineage: Eukaryota; Metazoa; Chordata; Amphibia; Anura; Hyperoliidae
Description: partial 12S ribosomal RNA
Rfam family: Bacterial small subunit ribosomal RNA
Source: RNAcentral